This 1213-nucleotide long non-coding RNA is filed under the name Chloebia gouldiae (Gouldian finch). RNAcentral's name for it is "Erythrura gouldiae (Gouldian finch) lncRNA (ENSEGOG00005003359.1)". The record is from RNAcentral. Lineage: Eukaryota; Metazoa; Chordata; Aves; Passeriformes; Passeridae.
AUGAUGACACAAAGUAGCUUGCAAACUAACCCUUACAUUGAGCAGUGCCAUUGCAGGAUUAUUUCUGAUGACUCCUCAGAUCAGAUAAUCCAGAGCAUGUGGAUAAAAGGGGACGCAGGACUCCGAACUAAACCCAGAGAGCCACGCUUGGAAAAAUGCAAAAUAACGGAUGAGAUUUUCUGCGUCCCCGGGAGCCUCGAUGCCACACCCAGGGGCAGUGUCUGUGGGCAGGCUCUCAAAGGCCCCUCCAACCAAGUCCUGCUUCUGUACCUCUAGCUUGGACUCAGAAGUGCUGCUGGAUGGGCAGGGGGAACAGCAGCCAGGCUGUACCAAGGAUCUUGCUGCGCUCUGUGAAACAUGCGGCGCUCCCCCAGGGAAAAUGUUUAAGGCAAGUAACGAGGUGGCAAACUUUCUUUCUUGCUGAGAAAGUUAUUUGGAGUUGGAUCUUAUUUUACUGUACCAUCUCUCACUUCCCAUGGAAGUAAGUGCAUUAAUUUGCCUGACAGAGGUAUUAAACUGAAACAGCUGAAUACCAGUCAAAGGCAGCACUGUUUGAUUGGGAAGUGCCAGAGAAAGAGGAGUUUGCAGGAGUCUGGGGUAUUGUUCAGAGCCUUGUGAUCUCAGCAUCACAGCUUCACAGUUUCAGGUCUGGGGUAAUGAUCUGAAAAUACAAGUCUUCAUGGUGACUGGAAGGUGGAGAGGCACAACCUAUAGGCACAACAGUUAGGGCUCACCUUUUGAUGAAGAGCAAGAUCAGUCUGAGUUGCAGCUGGCCAUUUCACCUUUAGCUCCAUUUUCCUUUGAGUGGGUCUCAUGGACUACUUGUGUCCAUGUGCAGGGGAAACAGGCAGGUUUGGCUUGCCAUUAAGAGUUUCAGAAAGAUUCUCUAAGACCAAGGGAAGUAAAAAAUGUGAGCAAAAGUUCUGCAAGUUCUCAAAGGAAAACGUCACAUGCAAGGAGAUUUCAGGCAAAUCCUGCAGACCCUGACUCAUAAUUGUGCUGGAGCGGGGACCUACAGAUGAGACCCCAUGCUGAAAAAGAGCUGAUGAGGGAUGACACUAGGGACAGUGUGGGGUAGUGGAGAAAGCUGUAAGUGAAUGGUGUCACUUAAAUUCCAAAAUUCCCUGUGUGGUGCUGCUCGGAGUCUUCCCAGACUACUUGUGGUUCCUGCUGAGCUCAACCAGAGUGUGGGUGCUUAGGCUGUCUUCCAAUA